GUAGAGGAGAGGCCGCAGGGGCCGAAGGCCGGCCGUGGGGCCUGAUGGGACGGCAAGGUCGGGUGCUGUCAUGGCUCCU
RNAcentral lists this microRNA precursor (79 nucleotides) under Vicugna pacos (alpaca). RNAcentral's name for it is "miRNA (ENSVPAG00000015718.1)". Lineage: Eukaryota; Metazoa; Chordata; Mammalia; Artiodactyla; Camelidae. The record is from RNAcentral.